UUAAAGGAAUUGACGGGGCCCCGCACAAGCAGCGGAGCAUGCGGCUUAAUUCGACGCAACGCGAAGAMCCUUACCAAGGCUUGACAUAUACCGAAAAGCAGCAGAGAUGUUGUGUCCGCAAGGGCGGUAUACAGGUGGUGCAUGGUUGUCGUCAGCUCGUGUCGUGAGAUGUUGGGUUAAGUCCCGCAACGAGCGCAACCCUCGUUCUGUGUUGCCAGCAUUUAGUUGGGGACUCACAGGAGACUGCCGUGGUUAACACGGAGGAAGGUGGGGAUGACGUCAAAUCAUCAUGCCCCUUAUGUCUUGGGCUGCNCGCAUGCUACAAUGGCAGGUACAAAGGGCUGCAAUACCGUAAGGUGGAGCGAAUCCCAAAAAGUCUGUCUCAGUUCGGAUUGAGGUYUGCAACUCGACCUCAUGAAGUCGGAGUUGCUAGUAAUCGUAGAUCANCACCGCGGCGG
RNAcentral lists this ribosomal RNA (458 nucleotides) under uncultured Actinomycetes bacterium. RNAcentral describes it as "bacterial SSU rRNA". It matches the Rfam family "Bacterial small subunit ribosomal RNA", at positions 901 to 1362 of the family's 1533-position model. Lineage: Bacteria; Bacillati; Actinomycetota; Actinomycetes. The record is from RNAcentral.